This 460-nucleotide ribosomal RNA is filed under the name uncultured bacterium. RNAcentral's name for it is "partial 16S ribosomal RNA". It matches the Rfam family "Bacterial small subunit ribosomal RNA", at positions 338 to 795 of the family's 1533-position model. The record is from RNAcentral.
CCUACGGGCGGCAGCAGUGAGGAAUAUUGGUCAAUGGCCGGAAGGCUGAACCAGCCAUGCCGCGUGAAGGUCAGUGCCCUAUGGGCGUUAAACUUCUUUUGUGCGGGAGCAAUAAUGGUCACGUGUGGCCAGACGAGAGUACCGUACGAAUAAGCAUCGGCUAACACCGUGCCAGACGCCGCGGUAAUACUGGGGAUGCAAGCGUUAUCCGGACUUAUUGGGUUUAAAGGGUGCGUAGGCUGUGAGGUAAGUCAGCGGGGAAAUGCCCCCGCUCAACGGGGUGAAGUGCCAUUGAUACUGCCUUGCUGGAAUGCGGAUGCCGUAGGAGGAAUGUGUGGUGUAGCGGUGAAAUGCAUAGAUAUCACACAGAACCCCGAUUGCGAAGGCAUCUCACGAAUCCGCGAUUGACGCUGAUGCACGAAAGCGUGGGUAUCAAACAGGAUUAGAUACCCCUGUAGUC